Long non-coding RNA from Mesitornis unicolor (brown roatelo), 809 nucleotides. RefSeq lists it as uncharacterized. NCBI's taxonomy places the organism in Eukaryota, Metazoa, Chordata, Aves, Mesitornithiformes, Mesitornithidae. The record is from RefSeq and is a predicted model, not a curated record. The transcript is spliced from 2 exons.
AGUUCCUCUGAUGACACCCCAAAUCUGGAAAUGAAGAACUUCUUAGAGCUGAUUGGAAAUGGCAUUGCGGAGCUGAAACUUAACUGGAGGAAAUUUAUCUCCUGAAGAAGAAAAUAUAAUGCACUGUAAGGAUCUGACUUCUGGUGAAAAAUUCAAGCCUAGAGAAAACUUGUCUGCUUUGUUAGGAGGAAUGGGUUGGACAAUUUUCUUCAAUUCCAGAGGAUAUCUGAAUGCCAUGCUGAGCUUAAUCUCUGCAGCAUGCUCUGUGCUUCUCAUCUCUUCCUGAUGCACUGCAUGGUUAUCCUGAAGGGGAGGAUAAAGAAACUGGCCACCAAGAUGGUAAUCACUAGCGGGAAUGAAGAAGAUAAAGGCAGUCAAGAAAAGGAAAGCAAAGAAGAAACCAUCUUGGCCAUGCUUGGAAUUAUUGGGACAAUUCUGAACCUCAUUGUGAUCAUUUUUGUGUACAUUUACACAACGUUGUAAACUAGAAGGCACGCAAAUAGACCGGAUAAGACGACCAUUAGGAGUGACGACAAACAUUGCUGGCUAAUGACAAGUUGUUUAAUCGGAAUUGACUCUGUAUUAUAUUAACACAUCAUAAAAGCACUGCCCGCAGGCAGCGAAGGCUGAAGCACAAUUAAUUUAACAAGACUUUUUCACACAGUAACAAGCUUAACUCUUUUGUCCUGCCCUCUUCCUUUCCGUUUGGGUUUCGGUCUGGGGGAAAAUGACUGCAAUUAUGUAAGUUGUAGCUCUGAAGAAAUCCACCCGGGAUUUGUUGUUUUAACACAAUUUAAGAAAAAGAAAAA